RNAcentral lists this ribosomal RNA (252 nucleotides) under Triticum aestivum (bread wheat). Its description in RNAcentral is "partial small subunit ribosomal RNA". Lineage: Eukaryota; Viridiplantae; Streptophyta; Magnoliopsida; Poales; Poaceae. The record is from RNAcentral.
AUGGUUUGUUGCUCUCGGCGGCGAGACCGGCCGGCGGCCGGCGGGCUGCUCGGGUCGUGGCUCCUCAUCGCCGUCCUCGUCCAAUCCUCGCUCCUCGGAUCCACCUUCCUCUUGGCCGUCGACGCCGCUCGCACGUCGGCGUUCAUGGCCAUGGCGCCGCUACCAGCUGUGGCUAUGGCCCCCUCGCCGUCGGGGCUCAAGGACGACAAAAGGCGCGUGCCGACGGGUGCAAACCCUUUGCACAACAGAUGA